Molecule: ribosomal RNA, 421 nt
Filed under: uncultured bacterium
Lineage: Bacteria
Description: bacterial SSU rRNA
Rfam family: Bacterial small subunit ribosomal RNA
Source: RNAcentral
UAAGGAAUAUUGGUCAAUGGACGCAAGUCUGAACCAGCCAUGCCGCGUGAAGGAUGAAGGUCCUCUGGAUUGUAAACUUCUUUUAUCUGGGACGAAAACGGGAUUUUUAUCUCAAUUGACGGUACCAGAGGAAUAAGCACCGGCUAACUCCGUGCCAGCAGCCGCGGUAAUACGGAGGGUGCGAGCGUUAUCCGGAUUUACUGGGUUUAAAGGGUGCGUAGGUGGGCUUAUAAGUCAGUGGUGAAAUCUCCGAGCUUAACUUGGAAACUGCCGUUGAUACUAUAGGUCUUGAAUUACCUGGAGGUAAGCGGAAUAUGUCAUGUAGCGGUGAAAUGCUUAGAUAUGACAUGGAACACCAAUUGCGAAGGCAGCUUACUACAUAUAAAUUGACGCUGAGGCACGAAAGCGUGGGGAUCAAACA